Molecule: long non-coding RNA, 586 nt
Filed under: Bos indicus x Bos taurus (hybrid cattle)
Lineage: Eukaryota; Metazoa; Chordata; Mammalia; Artiodactyla; Bovidae
Description: lncRNA (ENSBIXG00005021287.1)
Source: RNAcentral
CUAGCAGGCACAAUAGCACAUUAUUCCUGAAGGAGCUAUGGUUUGAAAUUUCUGAAUGGGCUUACCAUCAGUCUCAGCUGGCAGCCUACUCAGCAUGCACAGGCAGGUAAACUCUUCAAAUACACUUCUUUUUCAGUAUGGAGACUGUUCCUGGUAUUUCUAUAUUCAUCAAAAAACAAGCAAGCUGUUAUAGAGGCAGUGCACCCCAUGCAGUGAGAGUGGUCUCGCCAAGCUUCUUUCCCAGGACCCACCUCAGCAGCAUCUCAACAUCAAGGUGCCCUAAGCUUUGAACUGUGUCGGUAUCUUCUGAAGGCAACCUAUAACCCAAGAGUCUCUAUCUUUCAGCUGUGUGUAGGAGUAAAGAGGUUAAUCUAUUUACAUGUAUUUAUACUGAUAUAUUUAACCCUCAUUUCUUUUGUUUUCUUGCUUUUUAGUGGCAUUUUUAAUUAAUUGUAUAUAUAUAUUACAUACACUACUAAUUUGAAUAUUAUAUACUCUACUUUUAUUGCGAAUUCGUAUUCUAAAAAAAUAACAUGCACGUUUAAUUUAUAAAAUAAAAAACAAUCAAUGCCUACUUUUUUCUUCA